GGCGGCGUGCCUAACACAUGCAAGUCGAGCGGAGACAUACAGCGGAUAGGAAGUUUUCGGAUGGAAUUGAAGAGGUAUGUUUUAGCGGCGGACGGGUGAGUAACGCGUGAGCAACCUGUCCUUCACGAGGGGGAUAAUGCAGCGAAAGUUGUACUAAUACCGCAUAAGACCACAGAGCCACAUGGCUUAGGGGUCAAAGGAGCAAUCCGGUGAAGGGUGGGCUCGCGUCCGAUUAGAUAGUUGGUGAGGUAACGGCCCACCAAGUCGACGAUCGGUAGCCGACCUGAGAGGGUGAUCGGCCACAUUGGGACUGAGACACGGCCCAAACUCC
Molecule: ribosomal RNA, 331 nt
Filed under: uncultured Coriobacteriales bacterium
Lineage: Bacteria; Bacillati; Actinomycetota; Coriobacteriia; Coriobacteriales
Description: bacterial SSU rRNA
Rfam family: Bacterial small subunit ribosomal RNA
Source: RNAcentral